CUACGGGAGGCUCCAGUGGGGAAUAUUGCACAAUGGGCGAAAGCCUGAUGCAGCAACGCCGCGUGAGGGACGACGGCCUUCGGGUUGUAAACCUCUUUUAGCAGGGAAGAAGCGAAAGUGACGGUACCUGCAGAAAAAGCACCGGCUAACUACGUGCCAGCAGCCGCGGUAAUACGUAGGGUGCAAGCGUUGUCCGGAAUUAUUGGGCGUAAAGAGCUCGUAGGCGGUUUGUCGCGUCUGCUGUGAAAAUCCGAGGCUCAACCUCGGACCUGCAGUGGGUACGGGCAAACUAGAGUGCGGUAGGGGAGAUUGGAAUUCCUGGUGUAGCGGUGGAAUGCGCAGAUAUCAGGAGGAACACCAAUGGCGAAGGCAGAUCUCUGGGCCGUAACUGACGCUGAGGAGCGAAAGCGUGGGGAGCGAACAGGAUUAGAUACCCUUGUAGUC
This 444-nucleotide ribosomal RNA is filed under the name uncultured bacterium. RNAcentral's name for it is "partial 16S ribosomal RNA". It matches the Rfam family "Bacterial small subunit ribosomal RNA", at positions 339 to 795 of the family's 1533-position model. The record is from RNAcentral.